This 465-nucleotide ribosomal RNA is filed under the name uncultured Leuconostoc sp. RNAcentral describes it as "bacterial SSU rRNA". It matches the Rfam family "Bacterial small subunit ribosomal RNA", at positions 338 to 795 of the family's 1533-position model. Lineage: Bacteria; Bacillati; Bacillota; Bacilli; Lactobacillales; Lactobacillaceae. The record is from RNAcentral.
CCUACGGGUGGCAGCAGUAGGGAAUCUUCCACAAUGGGCGAAAGCCUGAUGGAGCAACGCCGCGUGUGUGAUGAAGGCUUUCGGGUCGUAAAGCACUGUUGUAUGGGAAGAACAGCUAGAAUAGGAAAUGAUUUUAGUUUGACGGUACCAUACCAGAAAGGGACGGCUAAAUACGUGCCAGCAGCCGCGGUAAUACGUAUGUCCCGAGCGUUAUCCGGAUUUAUUGGGCGUAAAGCGGGCGCAGACGGUUUAUUAAGGCUGAUGUGAAAGGCCGGGGCUCAAACUCGGAAUGGCAUUUGGAACUGGGUAACUUGAGUGCAGUAGAGGUAAGUGGAACUCCAUGUGUAGCGGUGGAAUGCGUAGAUAUAUGGAAGAACACCAGUGGCGAAGGCGGCUUACUGGACUGCAACUGACGUUGAGGCUCGAAAGUGUGGGUAGCAAACAGGAUUAGAUACCCGAGUAGUC